This 1463-nucleotide ribosomal RNA is filed under the name Klebsiella pneumoniae. RNAcentral's name for it is "bacterial SSU rRNA". It matches the Rfam family "Bacterial small subunit ribosomal RNA". Lineage: Bacteria; Pseudomonadati; Pseudomonadota; Gammaproteobacteria; Enterobacterales; Enterobacteriaceae. The record is from RNAcentral. RNAcentral also lists the same sequence under 1 other name.
AUUGAACGCUGGCGGCAGGCCUAACACAUGCAAGUCGAGCGGUAGCACAGAGAGCUUGCUCUCGGGUGACGAGCGGCGGACGGGUGAGUAAUGUCUGGGAAACUGCCUGAUGGAGGGGGAUAACUACUGGAAACGGUAGCUAAUACCGCAUAACGUCGCAAGACCAAAGUGGGGGACCUUCGGGCCUCAUGCCAUCAGAUGUGCCCAGAUGGGAUUAGCUAGUAGGUGGGGUAACGGCUCACCUAGGCGACGAUCCCUAGCUGGUCUGAGAGGAUGACCAGCCACACUGGAACUGAGACACGGUCCAGACUCCUACGGGAGGCAGCAGUGGGGAAUAUUGCACAAUGGGCGCAAGCCUGAUGCAGCCAUGCCGCGUGUGUGAAGAAGGCCUUCGGGUUGUAAAGCACUUUCAGCGGGGAGGAAGGCGUUAAGGUUAAUAACCUUGUCGAUUGACGUUACCCGCAGAAGAAGCACCGGCUAACUCCGUGCCAGCAGCCGCGGUAAUACGGAGGGUGCAAGCGUUAAUCGGAAUUACUGGGCGUAAAGCGCACGCAGGCGGUCUGUCAAGUCGGAUGUGAAAUCCCCGGGCUCAACCUGGGAACUGCAUUCGAAACUGGCAGGCUAGAGUCUUGUAGAGGGGGGUAGAAUUCCAGGUGUAGCGGUGAAAUGCGUAGAGAUCUGGAGGAAUACCGGUGGCGAAGGCGGCCCCCUGGACAAAGACUGACGCUCAGGUGCGAAAGCGUGGGGAGCAAACAGGAUUAGAUACCCUGGUAGUCCACGCCGUAAACGAUGUCGAUUUGGAGGUUGUGCCCUUGAGGCGUGGCUUCCGGAGCUAACGCGUUAAAUCGACCGCCUGGGGAGUACGGCCGCAAGGUUAAAACUCAAAUGAAUUGACGGGGGCCCGCACAAGCGGUGGAGCAUGUGGUUUAAUUCGAUGCAACGCGAAGAACCUUACCUGGUCUUGACAUCCACAGAACUUUCCAGAGAUGGAUUGGUGCCUUCGGGAACUGUGAGACAGGUGCUGCAUGGCUGUCGUCAGCUCGUGUUGUGAAAUGUUGGGUUAAGUCCCGCAACGAGCGCAACCCUUAUCCUUUGUUGCCAGCGGUUCGGCCGGGAACUCAAAGGAGACUGCCAGUGAUAAACUGGAGGAAGGUGGGGAUGACGUCAAGUCAUCAUGGCCCUUACGACCAGGGCUACACACGUGCUACAAUGGCAUAUACAAAGAGAAGCGACCUCGCGAGAGCAAGCGGACCUCAUAAAGUAUGUCGUAGUCCGGAUUGGAGUCUGCAACUCGACUCCAUGAAGUCGGAAUCGCUAGUAAUCGUAGAUCAGAAUGCUACGGUGAAUACGUUCCCGGGCCUUGUACACGCCGCCCGUCACACCAUGGGAGUGGGUUGCAAAAGAAGUAGGUAGCUUAACCUUCGGGAGGGCGCUUACCACUUUGUGAUUCAUGACUGGGGUGA